GGUUAAGCGACUAAGCGUACACGGUGGAUGCCCUGGCAGUCAGAGGCGAUGAAGGACGUGCUAAUCUGCGAUAAGCGUCGGUGAGGUGAUAUGAACCGUUAUAACCGGCGAUUUCCGAAUGGGGAAACCCAGUGUGUUUCGACACACUAUCAUUAACUGAAUCCAUAGGUUAAUGAGGCGAACCGGGGGAACUGAAACAUCUAAGUACCCCGAGGAAAAGAAAUCAACCGAGAUUCCCCCAGUAGCGGCGAGCGAACGGGGAGGAGCCCAGAGCCUGAAUCAGUGUGUGUGUUAGUGGAAGCGUCUGGAAAGGCGUGCGAUACAGGGUGACAGCCCCGUACACAAAAAUGCACAUAUUGUGAGCUCGAUGAGUAGGGCGGGACACGUGGUAUCCUGUCUGAAUAUGGGGGGACCAUCCUCCAAGGCUAAAUACUCCUGACUGACCGAUAGUGAACCAGUACCGUGAGGGAAAGGCGAAAAGAACCCCGGCGAGGGGAGUGAAAAAGAACCUGAAACCGUGUACGUACAAGCAGUGGGAGCCUCUUAAUGGGGUGACUGCGUACCUUUUGUAUAAUGGGUCAGCGACUUAUAUUCUGUAGCAAGGUUAACCGAAUAGGGGAGCCGAAGGGAAACCGAGUCUUAACUGGGCGUUAAGUUGCAGGGUAUAGACCCGAAACCCGGUGAUCUAGCCAUGGGCAGGUUGAAGGUUGGGUAACACUAACUGGAGGACCGAACCGACUAAUGUUGAAAAAUUAGCGGAUGACUUGUGGCUGGGGGUGAAAGGCCAAUCAAACCGGGAGAUAGCUGGUUCUCCCCGAAAGCUAUUUAGGUAGCGCCUCGUGAAUUCAUCUCCGGGGGUAGAGCACUGUUUCGGCAAGGGGGUCAUCCCGACUUACCA
Molecule: ribosomal RNA, 898 nt
Filed under: Escherichia coli
Lineage: Bacteria; Pseudomonadati; Pseudomonadota; Gammaproteobacteria; Enterobacterales; Enterobacteriaceae
Description: partial 23S ribosomal RNA
Rfam family: Bacterial large subunit ribosomal RNA
Source: RNAcentral